RNAcentral lists this small RNA (143 nucleotides) under Flavobacterium succinicans. RNAcentral describes it as "Flavo-1 RNA". It matches the Rfam family "Flavo-1 RNA". Lineage: Bacteria; Pseudomonadati; Bacteroidota; Flavobacteriia; Flavobacteriales; Flavobacteriaceae. The record is from Rfam by way of RNAcentral.
UCCUAGCCCUGAUGGGAGUGGAAAUCCUCUGGCUCGGGUGGCUAUUUUGGGCAGGGCGGAAAGAGCGACUAAAAGAAGCUCCUUUGCGGCCUAGCCCAAAAAGCCACGCGAGGCGGAGAUUAUAACGGACAGCAGGAUUAGCU